CAGAGCUUAACUCUGGAACUGCCAUCAAAACUUUUCAGCUAGAGUAUGAUAGAGGAAAGCAGAAUUUCUAGUGUAGAGGUGAAAUUCGUAGAUAUUAGAAAGAAUACCAAUUGCGAAGGCAGCUUUCUGGAUCAUUACUGACACUGAGGAACGAAAGCAUGGGUAGCGAAGAGGAUUAGAUACCCUCGUAGUCCAUGCCGUAAACGAUGUGUGUUAGACGUUGGAAAUUUAUUUUCAGUGUCGCAGCGAAAGCGAUAAACACACCGCCUGGGGAGUACGACCGCAAGGUUAAAACUCAAAUGAAUUGACGGGGACCCGCACAAGUAGUGGAGCAUGUGGUUUAAUUCGAAGAUACGCGCAGAACCUUACCAACACUUGACAUGUUCGUCGCGACUCUAAGAGAUUAGAGUUUUCGGUUCGGCCGGACGAAACACAGGUGCUGCAUGGCUGUCGUCAGCUCGUGUCGUGAGAUGUUGGGUUAAGUCCCGCAACGAGCGCAACCCUCACUUUUAGUUGCCAUCAUUAAGUUGGGCACUCUGAAAGAACUGCCAGUGAUAAGCUGGAGGAAGGUGGGGAUGACGUCAAGUCCUCAUGGCCCUUAUGUGUUGGGCUACACACGUGCUACAAUGGUACUUACAAUGGGAAGCAAAGAGGCGACUCUUAGCUAAUCCCUAAAAUGUACCUCAGUUCGGAUUGUACUCUGUAACUCGAGUGCAUGAAGCUGGAAUUGCUAGUAAUCGCGGAUCAGCGCGCCGCGGUGAAUACGUUCCCGGGUCUUGUACACACCGCCCGUCACACCAUGGAAGUUGGUUACACCUUAAGGCAAAGCUUAUACCUUUGACUACGGUACGAUCAGCAACUGGGGUGAAGUCGUAACAAGGUAGCCGUA
RNAcentral lists this ribosomal RNA (889 nucleotides) under uncultured bacterium. RNAcentral's name for it is "bacterial SSU rRNA". It matches the Rfam family "Bacterial small subunit ribosomal RNA", at positions 603 to 1504 of the family's 1533-position model. The record is from RNAcentral.